UGGAUAGAUUAUUGUAUUCGACUGUAUUCACGGCGUGAAACAGGGGAUUACACUAUUUUUAAAUGAAAAGUGAAUCAAUUAUCAUAAUCGACUCCU
RNAcentral lists this microRNA precursor (96 nucleotides) under Nicotiana sylvestris (wood tobacco). RNAcentral describes it as "MIR6152 microRNA precursor family". It matches the Rfam family "MIR6152 microRNA precursor family". Lineage: Eukaryota; Viridiplantae; Streptophyta; Magnoliopsida; Solanales; Solanaceae. The record is from Rfam by way of RNAcentral.